CCAGAGAUCUCACAAGCUGGCACCAUCAAAGAAAGCAAGUCAGCAAAGUAAUCAGAAUAAAUCUCCAAAUAGUAUCCCACAAAUAAAGUGGAAUACCAAGCAAGCUAUCUCUUCAAGAGUCAUGUGAGCCCUCACAAAAACUCAAUAAACAAGUUAGAAUAACAAGAUGGGGUGCAGUCAAGAGUUGCACCAAACAGAAGAAUCAUAGCAACAACAGUGUCAGGUAAACAAUGCACGGAUGCAAUAG
Molecule: long non-coding RNA, 247 nt
Filed under: Lathyrus oleraceus (garden pea)
Lineage: Eukaryota; Viridiplantae; Streptophyta; Magnoliopsida; Fabales; Fabaceae
Description: Pisum sativum (pea) long non-coding RNA (PSAT_LNC014396)
Source: RNAcentral